Phoenix dactylifera (date palm) is the source of this 2240-nucleotide non-coding RNA. The record is from RefSeq and is a predicted model, not a curated record. NCBI's taxonomy places the organism in Eukaryota, Viridiplantae, Streptophyta, Magnoliopsida, Arecales, Arecaceae.
AAUAACGAUAGAUAAGAUGGGGCUGGAGGAGGACAUGGAUGCCUUUUGCUUUCCCAUCCUUGUCUGCCACCGGAACGAGGAAACCCUAAUUUCUCGAACUCUCCUGUAGAGGUCUUCCUCCUUUCUCUAUCCGCUACCUUCCCGGAAAUUUCUCAGCUACUCCACCAAUUUAUGCAGUCCUACGCCCUUUUGUAUCUUUCCCUUGCUCACUGUCCCCAUCUCUUUCCUCUCGUCUUUCCUCGAUUUCAUCCAAUUAUUCCUCAGUUUUCUUCAAAGGUUGGUGCUUUGAAGGAAUGAAUCCAAGGAAUUGGCUUUGAUUAUUCCUUUUCUUGUGUUUCUUCGGGGAAAAUCGAAGCUUGGAAGCGAUGAUGAAAGCGACGCUGGUGAUUUUCGCCCCCAAAUUUUGGUAAAGUUUGGAUCUUUUUCAAGGUUUUAGAUCCGUGGUAGUCUUCUCAAAGUUUCUUUGCGUCCGUCUGAGGCGAUAGCAAUGGAUUCCUCGCUGGGUUUGGAGAGCCGACGCCCAAUUUGUAGAUACUGAGGUUCGGUAGGAUUUGGAUUGGAUUCUUUUGCUGUUUUUCUUGGGGGUUUGGGAGAGGAAUCGAUGUCGUUCAAGAGCAUCAUCCAGGACAUGAGGGACGAGAUAGGCAGCAUCUCGAGGAAGGGAUUUGAGGUGAGGCUUGGGUAUGGCCUGAGAUCGAGGUCGCAUCGGGUGGUCCAUGAUGCACUGGGGCGGCCGCUGGUGGAUGCCUUGAAGCAGAGCUGCUGGGCUAAUAUGCCGCCAGAGCUCCUGCGGGAUGUUCUGAUGAGGAUAGAGGAGGCCGAGAGCUCGUGGCCCCCGAGGAAGGAUGUUGUGGCCUGUGCCGGAGUGUGCCGGAGCUGGAGGGAUAUCAUGAAGGAAAUUGUGAAGACUCCUGAGCUGUCUGGCAAGCUGACCUUCCCAAUCUCAUUGAAGCAGCCUGGCCCAAGGGACUUUUCUCUCCAGUGUUUCAUAAAGCGGAAUCGAGCCACACAAACGUAUCAUCUUUACCUUGGUCUAAGCCAAGCAUUAACGGAUAAUGGCAAAUUCCUUCUUGCUGCACGCAAAUGCCGACGUCCUACAUGCACUGACUACCUCAUCUCGCUGGAUGCGGAUGACAUGUCAAAGGGAAGUGGAACCUAUAUUGGGAAGUUAAGAUCAAACUUUUUGGGUACCAAGUUUACAGUUUAUGAUGCUCAGCCUCCUCAUGCCGGAGCCAUUGUCUCAAAAGGUCGCUCCACUCGUAUUGUGGGUUCUAAACAAGUCUCUCCUAGAGUUCCUGCUGGAAAUUACCCAGUUGCCCACAUUGCUUAUGAGUUGAAUGUGCUAGGUUCCAGAGGUCCUAGAAGAAUGCAGUGUGUCAUGGACUCCAUCCCUGCUUCUGCAAUAGAACCAGGAGGGGUGGCUCCCACACCAACGGAGUUCCUUCUUAGCAGCCUUGAUUCAUUCCCAUCAAUUCCAUUCUUCAAAUCCAAGUCAUUUCGCUCAGAAAACUUGUCAGGGCCUUUAUCCGGCCAGAAGGAGGGAAAGUUGGUGUUAAAGAACAAAGCUCCAAGGUGGCAUGAGCAGCUCCAGUGCUGGUGCCUAAAUUUUAGGGGACGGGUGACUGUUGCAUCAGUGAAGAACUUCCAGCUGGUGGCUUCAGAAGAGAAUGGACCAGCUGGCCAGGAGCACGAUAAGGUAAUUCUUCAAUUUGGCAAGGUGGGAAAGGACUUGUUUACCAUGGAUUACCGCUAUCCAAUAUCAGCAUUUCAGGCAUUUGCUAUCUGCCUCAGUAGUUUCGACACCAAAAUAGCUUGUGAGUAAGACAAGCAGCUUACAUCCUCAGGUGCUUCUAGAUGCUGAGCCAUCUGAAUAAAUUUGGGAAGAAGCAAGGGACGGCACAGAUUUAGGAGCAUGUAGGUCCCUUGGUGGUCCAAUGAAUGCUUAGAACGUAACAUCAAUUUUAAGAGCUGUUGCUUGCUCACGAGGAUCGGGAGCAACUUGUCCCUCUCGUUCCAUGAACAUAAUUGGAGCAAUCUUUAUUUCUAAUCUGCGCAUUAGCAGCCGCCAUACAUAUUCGGAGAAAAGAAUGGAUAAUUUCAAUAUAAUUCAAAUAGUGGACAAAAGUAUUUUGCUGUAACUUGUUUUCUGAAUUUAUGUAAUAUUUGGAUGCAGAUAUGAUGGAUAAACAUUCCUUUUCUGAAUACAAAGGAAAUGGCAGGAAAAUUUUACUGCCAAGAAA